GGAAUAUUGCACAAUGGGCGCAAGCCUGAUGCAGCCAUGCCGCGUGUAUGAAGAAGGCCUUAGGGUUGUAAAGUACUUUCAGCGGGGAGGAAGGCGAUAAGGUUAAUAACCUUGUCGAUUGACGUUACCCGCAGAAGAAGCACCGGCUAACUCCGUGCCAGCAGCCGCGGUAAUACGGAGGGUGCAAGCGUUAAUCGGAAUUACUGGGCGUAAAGCGCACGCAGGCGGUCUGUCAAGUCGGAUGUGAAAUCCCCGGGCUCAACCUGGGAACUGCAUUCGAAACUGGCAGGCUAGAGUCUUGUAGAGGGGGGUAGAAUUCCAGGUGUAGCGGUGAAAUGCGUAGAGAUCUGGAGGAAUACCGGUGGCGAAGGCGGCCCCCUGGACAAAGACUGACGCUCAGGUGCGAAAGCGUGGGGAGCAAACAGGA
This 427-nucleotide unclassified non-coding RNA is filed under the name plant metagenome. Its description in RNAcentral is "partial contains 5.8S ribosomal RNA, internal transcribed spacer 2, and large subunit ribosomal RNA". It matches the Rfam family "Bacterial small subunit ribosomal RNA", at positions 358 to 777 of the family's 1533-position model. The record is from RNAcentral.